Small nucleolar RNA from Rhododendron vialii, 111 nucleotides. RefSeq annotates it as small nucleolar RNA snoR100. Lineage: Eukaryota; Viridiplantae; Streptophyta; Magnoliopsida; Ericales; Ericaceae. The record is from RefSeq and is a predicted model, not a curated record. The transcript has a single exon.
AAUUGAAGGAAGCAUGGUUAUGUGUACAGAAAUUGAAUCUGGUAUAGGGUCUUCAUGUCUGCCCCCUCUGAUUUCCCUUCUGAUUUGGGGGCCUGGAUACGACCCACAUCU